UAUACGUUUUCAUUCUAGUAUAAAAACCAUAAUUCCUUUAAAUAAAGUUCAUUAAUUUUUAAUUUAUAAUCGGUGAUAUUUGCUUUCUGCAAAGUAACGUUAAAGUGGUAUAAAAUCAUCAUAGAUUUUAAUUUGAAGACUAUUAUCAGUUAAAAGUAAGUUUCUCAAUAAUUCAUAUUAAAAUACAGCAUGGAAUAUUUUAUUAUGUUCUGUAUAUUAUAUAUCAUAGAUGAGUAUGAUAAAUAAAGAUUGGUUGAAUGGUAAUCAAAAUAAACGUUGAAUGUGUGUAUCCGAUCUUAAAAUAAAAGUAGAGUAUAAGGUUCUGGGAAUAUAUGUGGUCAAAUCAAAAUACUCGAAUGAGACUCUAGUUGUUGGAUACACAUCGGUCGAAUAUGCUGUCGAGAAAUUGUGUUCUUAUUAUUCAUGUUAUCAUUGUGCAACAUUGAGUUAUUGUCGGUCUUCUCUCUAUGUCUGCAUUGUCGCUGCCAUCUUAACACAUCUUUCGCUCUAAGCUCUAUGGCGCUUGCGAGCCAGUAGUUUUGUAUUUAAGAUUUAAAGAUGGUGUAUAUGAAAAUUUAUAUUUCUUGUAUAAUACAUUUAAUUGUUAUAAUUAUAUUUUGUAAAAUUCAUUUUACAUACAAACAUACAGUAAACUCACCUUAUUCCUUAUCCUUGACAUAGCUAAAGACUUAGGACAAAAUAAAACCACGAAUGUUAACUAACGCGCUUGAAUACCAUCGGGCGCUGCUUUCAUACACCAGUGGCUGAAGUAAAACUUGAUGAUGAACUAUUAUUUCAAGUUUAUUUACCCGCAAGAUUUUCAUACACUCGUGAAUAUUUAAACAAAAGAAUCGAUGUAAAUCUUAAGAUUGUAUUAAACGGGGAAAAAGAGCACAAAUCUAGUAACGGUUGUUGAAAUAAUAGUAUUAACGUGACAAAAUGAUGCCAUCAUCUUAUUACUCAAAUUAUUGUGUAUUAAAGGACAAUAUAGUAAACUUUGAUCACAAUUAAACUAUAUAUCAAUAAAAAUAUCUGGAAACACUAACGAUGUUAAUCCGAAAAUUGAAUUUAAUAAAAAGUAAAAAUACGGGUUAACGUGAUAUUAAAAAACAUUUGCACGUACAAUCUCUCAGAGUCACUUUGUUCAUCAACAUCAUCAAGACAAAAUAAAGUUCGAAUUUUUUUUUUCCAUAAUAAAGUAUAUUACAUUAGCUUUGAUUUAAGAUAUAAAAGUGUCAGUAUUUCCGGAACACUUUCAAAAGUUAAGUUGAAAAAGUUGUCAUUUUGAAUCCUCCUGUGGGCUGGUAAAGGGUUAAAUUUAUAAAAAAAAAUAUAACAAAUGAUAGGUAAAGACAUCAAUCAUCUAUAAAAUAUUUUAAAUGUUAUUAUAUUUUUAUUAUUAAUAUUAUAAUUUAUAUUAUUGAAACAGUAAUAGAAUUAACUAGAAAAAAAUAUAAGAACACAGGUAAAUCUUUUUCCGACGGCAAGACUGUGACGACAAAUUCUUAAUUGGAACUGCUAAAAAAAUUGAUCCAAACCCAAUAGAUGUAGAGAUAGUAAAUAUAUAUCCAGGAGAUAGUAAAAACUGGAUCGAGCGAUUUUCAGGAGAUAUUGAAUUUGAUGAUAUAUGUGUAGAAAAUGAAAUGACUGGUACAGGUAUUUCACACACGCAGCAGACUAAACAAUCGAUCACAAAAAGUGAUAUGCGAGGAAAUCGCGUGCAAGAGUUAUAGAAUCAGUUUUUUCGGGUAAUAUAGUUGCACAUAGAAUUGAAAACAUAGAUCCGUUUAUUAUCCCUAAAUUCAUUAAACAAUAUGCGUUGGACAUUGCAAAUGUGUUGAAAAAAUCAAUUCAAAAAACUAUUGCGAACUUGGUUUUGAGGAUGAUGAUGAGGGUAUUGAAGUAGUGGCAAAAACGAAUAAAAAAUAUAUGUCAAUUAAAAAAACCAUUUUCUCUUGAAAAAUUAGCCGAAACUUUGACACCUGAUCAAUUUAUCAUAACAAGGAGAAUGUACAAAAUUGAUGAUGUGUCAUAAGUAUUAGAAAUUUCCAAAUCUAUUAUAUACGAUUUUCACUACAACUAUAUGAAAAAAAUGUAUGGAAAUAAGUGUAAGUUGUUAUACACGGGUACCGAUUCUAUUUUACGAAAUACAAACGGUAGAUGUUUAUGAUGAUGUUAAAAAAACAUUUAAAAAUUCGACACGUUAAACUAUGAUCCUAACAACGUAUAUGGUAUGUCGCUUGUCAACAAAAAGGUCAUGGUCUUAUAAAAGAAGAAAUGGGUGGAAAAAUUUUAAAAAUAUAUUGGGAUUUGCAAUAAAACGUAUAUGAUGCGCCGUGAUAAAAAUGUGGAAAAAAAAAUAAGAGAUUAAAAAAAAAGAGUACUGAAAGAGGCAAUAACUAUGAUGACUAUGAUAACUAUGAUAACAAUAAUGACUAUUAAAAUUGUAUAUUUUUUCAUGAUCUAUAAUUUUUACGAAGAAUGUAUGUUUUCCGUUCAUACAAACAUUUUAUAUACGCUGAAAAAGUAAAUAAAAUAGUGAUAGAAUUUAAAGAUGACAAGCAGUAUCAAAUACCCAAUACCUAUGAUACGUAUAUUUAAUUUUACGUAUCUCUAUGUAUUUUUGAAAAUGAUUAAUUUGUGUACACAAUGCUAUCAAAAUGUAUAAAUUGUGCGAGUUAUAAUGUACACGCGCAGUUGAUGAGUGAAAACAAUGAAUUUCAUAGAAAUUUAAUUUACGCAAUGAUGAAACAUUAGUAAGCGAUUAUAUCAAGGAGAAUACGUACUGUUAUUAUAAUCAUAAUACUGUGAAAUAAUGUCGUUUAUUUAAUUCGAUAAUUUCUAAAACAUAGUUUAUGUCGGAUGGGAAAGAAUGUUUUUACUUCUCAAUCAAUUUAGAGAAUAAACGACAUUAUUUUAUAUUUUAAUCGUAAAUAAUAAAUGUUAG
Molecule: long non-coding RNA, 2947 nt
Organism: Daktulosphaira vitifoliae (grape phylloxera)
Lineage: Eukaryota; Metazoa; Arthropoda; Insecta; Hemiptera; Phylloxeridae
Exons: 7
Source: RefSeq, a predicted model, not a curated record